RNAcentral lists this ribosomal RNA (382 nucleotides) under Bacillus sonorensis. RNAcentral describes it as "bacterial SSU rRNA". It matches the Rfam family "Bacterial small subunit ribosomal RNA", at positions 41 to 412 of the family's 1533-position model. The record is from RNAcentral. Lineage: Bacteria; Bacillati; Bacillota; Bacilli; Caryophanales; Bacillaceae.
GGCGUGCCUAAUACAUGCAAGUCGAGCGGACAGAUGGGAGCUUGCUCCCUKAUGUYAGCGGCGGACGGGUGAGUWACACGUGGGUAACCUGCCUGUAAGACUGGGAUAACUCCGGGAAACCGGGGCUAAUACCGGAUGCUUGAUUGAACCGCAUGGUUCAAUUAUAAAAGGUGGCUUUUAGCUACCACUUACAGAUGGACCCGCGGCGCAUUAGCUAGUUGGUGAGGUAACGGCUCACCAAGGCAACGAUGCGUAGCCGACCUGAGAGGGUGAUCGGCCACACUGGGACUGAGACACGGCCCAGACUCCUACGGGAGGCAGCAGUAGGGAAUCUUCCGCAAUGGACGAAAGUCUGACGGAGCAACGCCGCGUGAGUGAUGAA